ACGGGGAGCACCACAACAGGUGGAGCCUGCGGUUUAAUCGGACUCAACGCCGGGAAACUCACCAGAUAAGACAGCUGAAUGAUAGUCGGGCUGAAGACUCCACUUGACUAGCUGAGAGGAGGUGCAUGGCCGUCGUCAGUUCGUACUGUGAAGCAUCCUGUUAAGUCAGGCAACGAGCGAGACCCACGCCAACAGUUGCCAGCUCGUCCUCCGGGAUGGUGGGGACACUGUUGGGACCGCCUCUGCUAAAGAGGAGGAAGGAAUGGGCAACGGUAGGUCAGCAUGCCCCGAAUUAUCUGGGCUACACGCGGGCUACAAUGGGUGGGACAAUGGGUAUCGACACCGAAAGGUGAAGGCAAUCUCCUAAACCCAUCCGUAGUUCGGAUUGUGGGCUGCAACUCGCCCACAUGAAGCUGGAAUCUGUAGUAAUCGUGUCUCAAAAUGGCACGGUGAAUAUGUCCCUGCUCCUU
RNAcentral lists this ribosomal RNA (470 nucleotides) under uncultured Methanomicrobiales archaeon. Its description in RNAcentral is "bacterial SSU rRNA". It matches the Rfam family "Archaeal small subunit ribosomal RNA", at positions 871 to 1337 of the family's 1478-position model. Lineage: Archaea; Methanobacteriati; Methanobacteriota; Methanomicrobia; Methanomicrobiales. The record is from RNAcentral.